RNAcentral lists this ribosomal RNA (253 nucleotides) under uncultured bacterium. RNAcentral's name for it is "partial 16S ribosomal RNA". It matches the Rfam family "Bacterial small subunit ribosomal RNA", at positions 524 to 776 of the family's 1533-position model. The record is from RNAcentral.
UACAGAGGCCACAAGCGUUAUGCGGAAUCACUGGGCUUAAAGCGUGUGUAGGCGGUAUGGUAAGUACUUUGUGAAAUCCCACGGCUUAACCGUGGAAUUGCUUGGUAUACUGCCGUGCUUGAAUCAUCUAGGGGCAGCUGGAACUGAUGGUGGAGCGGUGAAAUGCAUAGAUAUCAUCAGGAACGCCAAUGGUGCAGACAAGCUGCUGGGGAUGUAUUGACGCUGAGGCACGAAAGCCAGGGGAGCAAACGGG